GUUUAAUUCAUUCAGUAGCAGGUGCUGUAAACAUCAAGGAAAAAACAGCAUCUUCACCAUGUUACAGAGCUUCAAAGCCUAAAUUAGACUGGGUUCCUUUAAAAGCUUUGAAGUCUGUAAUGCAAUGAUUUUUCUUUCUUUAGUUGGUGCAUUAACACAGAUGUAAUAUGCUUACAUGCAGUACUGAUAUGACACGGCUUACUUAAGACAAUAACCUGUUCCCACCAAGUGGAGAUGCUGGACUUUGGUGAGAUUAACGAUGAUACUUUUUAAUAAUGUUGAAUUUGGAAUAGAUAUUUAAUUUAAAUGGUGUAGGUGUGUGUGGAAAAAAUAAGAGGAGCAAAAGAAGGGAACUGAAGGCUUUAGUGGGUUGUUAAUAACAAGCUAACCGGUGCUCUGCCAAAAGUCUAGAUGUACCCAACAAACAGCAAAGCAACGACAAAGCAACGACAAAGCCAACACUGGUCACUACCAAUUAGUACUUCACGCAUCUGGCUGAAGAGUCUCUUUCACUUUGUCUCAGAGCAUUAGCAAGCUUGUAUUUUCACUAUGUACACAAUGUGCAGGGUGGUUGAGUCCAGCAUGUAAGAAGGCAAGUUGUGAUGACCUCAUUGACUGCAGUAAUCACCUGCUAAAAUCUGCCAGCUUUUCUCACUUGAUUUAACUAUUGUGUAUCUGCUACACAGCUUGAAGGGUUUUUUUUUUUUUUUAAUAAUUGCUCAGUCACACUAGAUUAAAAGUAGAAUUGCAACUUCCCUGCAACUGGGGAAAAAAAUAAGUGGUUUCCACUUUUUUUUUGCAUUUGCAAGUAACUGUAGGGACCUCUUUAUUCACAAGGCGAUUGCACAUGUUACCUAGUCAGAGGUAACCCAAUUCCAAACAACUGUGGUUGACUUUGUCUGAGUAUAGUUUGCAGAUAACUGCCAUUAUAAAUGCAGACAGACUGCCAGCACUUCGCCAUGAAUCUGAAUCAGACUCAGUUGGAUGUUUUCUGGUUAUAUUAUUUUACGCUAGGUGACAAAUCGCUGGUAUAUUAUGCUUCCAGGCACCCAACACGUCCCUAUAUUACAAGAUCAGAAAAAUUAGAACCGUUUGGAAUGAAUCUACACAUGUACAUUUAUUUUACUUAAAUCGCUUUGGAAAACACUAUCUAACAUCAUUACAGUGGUGAGGGUUACUGAUAAGGUUAGGGUUAGGGCUGGAAUGUCUAUUACCGCGGGACUGUUGUUCUACUGGAUUUCAUCCACAACCCGGCGCAUAGCAGAGGAAU
Astatotilapia calliptera (eastern happy) is the source of this 1270-nucleotide long non-coding RNA. NCBI's taxonomy places the organism in Eukaryota, Metazoa, Chordata, Actinopteri, Cichliformes, Cichlidae. The record is from Ensembl.